CAAAGUCCACACAAAGCUUUUCUUUCGAUCUGGCCAAGCCCCCGCAAUCGAGUUUCAUCUCAUAAGUGGGAUACAUGUUAAAAUAAUGUGAGUUCAUCUUUUACUAGUGAACUUCCAAGGAAGUUAAUUUUCCACACGUUUUGAUUUUUAAGGACUUUUUGAAUUAAGUUUCUAACCAUUAUUCAAACUGGGCGGAGUAUAGUAAACUUUGAAGAAACUUCACUCCGAUAUAAAAAUGAUUCAGGCCUCUUCAUACAUCGAUAACACACUUUGCCGUCAACACAUCAACUUGGUCUAAGGGAUAUAAGUUUCUGGAGCAGACAAACGGAGAUGUCACCGUGCCAAUCCAUAGUUGCAGAACCUUUUCGGAUAUCAUAUUUAGAUUUCCCACCUGAACUUGGAGCCAGGAAACAUGAAGUUACCCGUCAACAAGUUAGGUACAUGGAAAAUCUCCGAAGACACCCUGUGGAUGCAUCAUGCAAACAAAUAACUUGACGGAUUAAGGUGACCAACAUUAAUUAUUUGGUCUUUAGCAAAGACUCUUUAGUCUAGUUAUUUCGCAUAAUUUUGAUAAAGUAUGUAGUUUCCUGUUCUUGUUAGGUAAUUAGUAAAAAAACGUGGUUCAGUCGUAUCAAAUAGUUCAACUCUAUCGAGGAAUCCAAAGUUUACAUAUAUUGUAAUCCGGGUGACUUAAUAUUCUUGAAAGGUGUCAGCAACAAAUUCGUACAAUGCAAAACCUUAUUUUGAAUGAAACUUAUUGGCUGUUUUCUAUUAUUUGCACCAUAAUGAAAAGCUUUAAUACAGUUCUCUUGCUAAUUGCAGUUUUCAAUUUCGUGAAAUAUUUAAACCAAAUCGGUUAAGUGGAAGGGCAAACUUGAAACCCGUACUUGUGGCGAUUUAAGUACUACUGCAGUAAUAUAUAUGCAUAUGUUUAAUAGAAUUUUAGCGUCUCGAUAGGGUUUUUACAUACAACCCGAACCGCUACUCUACCAGUAGGGUUCUCCGGUACUGAACCAGUAGAUUAUUUGCACUGCUUCAGUUACCGAACAAUUUUCUGUCGAGUUGAAUGAGUUCUUGUCGCCGUUUCCAUGUUAAGGCCUUAGCGUCUUUGAUCCAUUGUUCUCUCUGUUCCGAUCCUACGUAAUGGGCAUAAGUCCCUUCUUCAUCCGUACCCUGGUUGUCUCCAUAUUUAUUUUGCUCAUCAAAAAUCAUCUCCUCUUCUUGAUGCUGCCCGUUUUCCAAAUUAAUGGGACCCCCGACCAGAGUGUUUGGCGCGAUUUCUCCCUCCUCCUGUCCAAGCAUAGUACCGAAGCGGGAGUGUCGUUGGGUUACGUGACGGGCUUGUGAACUAAUAGGGUCUCGGUGGGUCGAAGUAGCCUUAGGAGUAAAUCUUAGAUCGGGUCUGAAAGGUGUCUCGUCGAGGGUUCUUCCAGAUGUGGACAUUAAGGUGGUUCUUUCUGUUUCGUCGGGUAGUUAACUGGUCGUCUAUUUCUUCCUCAAAUUCCGAAAUAACCAGUUCCAGUUCUUAUAAAUAAGAGUAUUGGAAGGUGUUGUUGAAACAAUAUCCGUUUCAAUAGCGUGCUAUGUUCAACUUGAACAAGUGACAGGUUUGCUUCCUACUUCGAGAAUAGGAAAUAUUUUUUAUUUUAAUAUUAUUUUAUUUAUUUUCCACCUUGGAUUGGUUAAGUAGCUAAGAAGGUUGCACCAGCCACUUGAAUGCGCGCUGGUCUACUGCUGCUAUAUGUACUUGACAUAGAACAGGCCGGUUCGACCCUUUCAUUCUCCCUGCUUCCACCAUAUAAUUGUUUACUAAUAUAUUUGUUAUGAUGCUCAACCUAUUUAGUUUUCAACAAUAAAUUUGGGAGCAAUGUAACGCUAAGCCAUUAAAUUCCCUACCGAAAUUAGUUAUAUCCCUACCGAGAAACUUGUAAAUUGAUGCCGAUAUUUGAUUCCCUCUAAACAGGCUCUAAAUACUUUCAGUAUUCUGCAUUAGCCUCGUAAAUUUCUUAAAAAUUUCUCCUGUUAGUAUUAGCGACAAUUUGCUCGUAAUUCUGCAAGUUAGGCUUUAAAUGCUCGGAUCCGGUUUGCGAUUUCAUCAAUUUUGAUUAGCGAAUGUACUUUAAAUGGGUACAAAUUUACACAGGUGACCCACUGUUUGUCUGCGUUUCUUGUCCCCAAUCACUUUCGCUGUUCUGCAGUUUACGGUUUUUUCAGUCAGUUUUUAGAGCGUGAAUAUUACCUCAGUUUUUGAUGAAAAUUGCAGUUAACAAUUUGUACUGUUCACUUGCGAUUUGCUGAACCAAUUUCAUUAGUUAAUAAAUUUCUCAUUGUACACAAGUUAAGAGUCAUUAGGUCACUCAAAAGCAUUACUUCCCUGCUGAAAUCUCGCUGUUAGCACCAUGUUGGAAUUCUCAAGCUUUUUAGAUCGUUGUUCAAAAUCAUGAGUGACAAAUGUGCUUCUUUUCUUCUGUAAUAAUGAUCGUAGUUUUUAUAGACGCCUGUGGAACCUAUAUUCGUCCGUUUUAUGCGGAUAUUCGUACAUUAAAACCAUAAAUUUGUACAUCGUAGUGUUGUUUUGAAGGUUAACUAAGCGUUUGCGCUUCUGGAGUAGCCAUCGUAAUUUACUUGUUGAAGUGUAGAUAUACGUAUUUUGUAUAUGGUAUACACAAAAAUUCUGAUGAAUGAUAAACAGUAUAUCAUUCCCUUGUAAUUUCUGCCGCUAAGGAAAUUUCACCUUACGAAGCGAAUCGUGGGCUGAAGUUUUACAAAUUAAAACGGAGGUAAAACAGGUGUCAUGAAGGAGUUGCCAUUUAUUUCGUUUUCUCUCCUCGUCCCAAGAGGGCUAUGUAUUUAGGUCCGACUUCAAAAAUAAUUUCUAUUAAAAACCACUUGUAUGAGGUCGUGGUGCUGUAGAGCACGGCUUCAUAUAAUGUAUUUACGAGAAUUUUCUGUUAAUCUCAUUUCAUUAUUUUCAUGCCUGGAGAAUGUAUCGAAAAAGUCAUCAAUUUUUUCCUUCAUUUAUUGAUUUGACUUUCUUUUCGGCGUACAAAAUCUGCAGAAUUUCUUAACAUUUUCGAUUACUUUGCGACGCGUUUUUGGCUUGUGCUUAACAUUUUUCACUGUAAGAUUUAACGGUCGUUUAUUCCUUGCUUCUACAGCUUCAGUGAAAAAGAAACUUUUAAAUAUUUGUCCAUAUUUGUAAUGUCAACUCUAAUUUUCAACACUUCCAUAGCGUACAUUGGGACUAUCCGCGCCUUUUAUUACUUAUAAGACUAGAAGUUAUCUUGUGUACUUGUGAUGUAUUAAAACAAAAUCCAUCUCCUUCACGUACAUCUAUAAAUGAUCGUUGAAUUACUCUUGCUGAAGAAAGAGCUUCUGAUGCCAUCAAUUAUUAAUAAUAUUUGAUUUGGUUGUUAAUUAAGUAAAUAUCAGCAGGUAAAUUUUCUGGUUACGGAGACGAAAUGUAUUGCUUUAUGUAUGUGUAAACUGAUAUCUAUAUUCUUAUAUCUAACGUAGUUGUAAGGGUAAUACAUCGGCGCACUUAAAACUUCUUCUCAAAACAGAUGCACUAAAAUUUUAUGGCAUAAAGUGUUUCCACUGCCAGCCAAGGUAACGUUCCAUGACUCCUAUCUUGUCCCUUUGCCGUCUUCCAUCCUGUCUGAAUUUUUUCCUAUUUCGUUUUCUCGUUAUGCUAAUUACAGGGUGAAUUUUCCAGUUUUCUUUCUGUUUUCUCUCUGGCGCCAAACUGCUGUGGAAAUCGUUUGAGCUCAGAAUAUGGAAAAUUUCUGCAUAAUCUUUCUCCAAAUGAUUUUGUUAUAUGUUAAUCUUUUGUAGGGUUGGUCAAUUGCGGAUUGACUUUCGCUAGAAUGUUAGUAGAGAUUAGAGUUUAGUAGAGAUUAGUAGAGAUUAGAGAUUAGAAUGUAGAGAUUUGCCAACUCCCACUAGACGUUCGCAGAAGGAGCCAAAUGUUUCUUAUCCGCUAACUAUCUGCGAAACUCAGCAUAAUAAUGACAGGUGGAUACGCGCUCGAAACCGGUGACUAAUUAGACUAAAACUAAAUUAUCAACUAACGAAUAGCGCUACACAAGGAAAUUUCGUGAUGUGAUUCGUACUACCGUUAAGGGGGACCGUACUGUACGCACGGUCCCAUUAAUUAAAACCACCCCUAUAAAAAAAAGGUGACAGCUAAAGCCUAAAGUUUCUCAUCAAUCUACCUAUUUUUCAACAGAAUUUUGGUAGCAAUGUAACGCUUUUCGCUAUCCCUACCAAGAAUAUUUGCAAGUGAUUUCGAUAUUUGAUUUCCCUGAAAAUAGGGACCUACAGGGGAAAAUUUUUUUACGGUGUCAGAAAAAUACAAAUUAAAUAAUAAAAUUGACUGGAUUGUGCAUUGAAAUAUUAUCUUACAUAUGUACAUAUCAAUUUAUGGUAAAAAUUUGAUAUUCCACAUACAAAAAAACGUCGGUACCACCCUUCAUCUAUUGAUGAAAUAGAAUGACAGGGUGUCAAAUGUUAAAGUUAUGCAUAAAUGUAGUUGGCAGAAUCCUUGGUUUUACUGCGCUUCGGAUCUGAUGUUAUAAUGAAUGUGUGACUAAUAAUUAUUUUGCAUUUAUGUGCUAACUUUUUUUCACCUCGAUUAUCACAGAGGGCGAAUGGAUCCUUCAAAUUUUUCAAGUUGUGGAAGGUCUUGUAUUUGAAAUGUUCUUGGUAUUGAGGCUGUAUGUGUACCAAAAUUAGUGGGAUAAGGGGCUCUUCGGUCAAUAUCGUUCCCCUUUGGGCACGUAAAUUUGCUACUCGGCAGAAGAUGGAUGUCCUCAUUUCUUAUGGCUUUUGACAGGUGGUCAUAAAAUGAUUUACACGAUCUGGCACACACUCCUUCUCGAACAGACGACUAAGCUCAGGUCAUCGUAGUUCAAGCCAUGGAUUGGAUUGAAUUCCUAGGUCGGUGAAGCAUAUUCGUUCUUGAGGUCUCUUUCAGCUAGUUCGAGCUAGAGCGUUGCUGCCUCGGAUAAAUAGAAACGAUCCUCGCAUAAUCUGUAUAAUUAGCCACAAUUGUUUAUAAAUUUGGCGUGCGGGAGCCAAAGUUUAUGGAUUUUCAAAAACAUUCGAUGUGUUCUAUUUUAUCGAUAACAAAUCCCCGAUGCAAUCCGGUUUUUGGAUUUUCAAAAAUAUCCGCUCCUUCAGACCCAUUUAUUGGAAAAACAGCCUAUCUAAUUCAAACGGAUCGGAUCGGGCCACGGUUUGUGCCGACUCAAGUCUGCUUAAAAACAUUAUCAACCUUAUUAUCUCCUUUUUUCUCUUUUUUGUCUUCAUUCGAUUUUCCUACUUUACGAUACAUUACGCGAUACAUAGAUUUAAUAAUUUUUGAGUCAAAUUCAUCGGGUAAUAUGCUUUUAGUAGUUGUUCGUCAUUGAAUAACGAUUGGGUCAACUUGAACAGCUCGACCUAAAUUUUAUUUUUUGAUAAUCUUUAUGUCAUUACAAGUAGCGAUGAAUCUGUUCCACGUGCUCGAAGUUUUUUAUAUGCGAAGAAAGUCAAAAUCCGAUAUUUCAAUGACGGCAAACAUUACGUUAGGCCACGACUCUCGUGCUAUAAGCAGCAUUGAAUUUCAGUUUAUGUCCAUUCAUGGUAUGCACUAUGUACUUCGUACACAUUCGUUUACGUGCGUUCUGCGUAGCCUAUAUUAACUUGGCUUUUAGCAAAGAAACUUCUCUCGCUCAGCUAACCAAUCUCGCGCAAUAUGUACAACGAAGUAGGGGCAAUGUUUACUUUGUAACUUUCUGAAUGUUGCCGUGUAAGGUGAGCAAGACGAGAGUUGAAAAACCAAAUUUUACUGUUCAACGACGGAAUAAUAAGAAUUGGCACUUUGAAUUGAGAAAUUUCGAACAUGUUCACCAUGUUGCUCCAAACAAUUCCUUUGCAUUGUAUUAUCGUAUUCUCAUUACCGUUCCAAUUCAUAUCACGAUCGAUCGCAGGAACGACCAGAAUGCGAUGAUUUUUUUAAAGUUGAAUAGAGGUCACACUUGUCUGAAGGAUGUUUUCCUGGUGUCCUGAAUUUUGCACUCAAAGAUGCUCCCACGAACGUAUCUGAAAUAUUAGUCCAUAAAAAUCAUUUUGUAUUGAUCAAUAUUACUUACAAUACGAUGACGCCGCGGUCUUGCCCCGAUUUAGAUUAGACUAAAUUAAUAUAAUUAAUUAAUAUUAAUGAUUUAUCCUUAAAUAAACACGUAUACACGGGUGGAUUAUUGGGGCGUAAACAUACUGUUCGCACGGUCCCCUCAACUAGCACCACCAGUAUUGUUACAAAAAGGGUGACAGCUACAGCCCAAAGUUUCUCAUCAAUAUACUUAUAGAUUUUUAAAGAAUUUUGGGAGAAAUAAUUGAUUCCCUAUAAACAGGGGCUAAAUACACAAUAAAUCGGCAUUUUCAGCAUUCUGCAUUAGCCUUUUCAAUUUCUUUAAAAUUUCUUCUGCUAGUAGUAGCACCAAUAUGGCUCGUGAUUAUAAUGUUAGGUUAAAGGCUUCAAUCCGUUUUGCGCCCGGCUCAAUUCACGAUAUGGAUUUUAUUAUGCUUUUGUGUGUGUUUAGUUAUUCAUGGAAAUAUGUGUCGUCUUUGUUUAUAAUUAUGAGAAAUGGAAGAGACAAGUUGACACAAAAGUCUGGAGUUUUAUGACAAGUUGUAGCUGGUUUUAUUUACUGUUUACUCGACAAAAGCUCCAGGCAUACUAAUCUCCAAAAUCUCAUUCUCACAUUCAUCUACGUAUACCCAUCCAUGGCUACUUUGUUUAAUUCCACUAUCUUACAUACAUACUAUUGAGACUCAACUAUGAGAUGUUUUUGCGUUUUUUGGAGAUUCUACCUUGGACUAUGUUGAGGUGUCGGUUCCGGUGUCGGUUGUGGAAUUAAUUUCACCGAUGGGGAUGGAAUGUUUUCUUGGUAUUAAGAUAUUAUUUUGAGUGUCAAUUUUGUUAAUUUGUUAUGACGGAAUUUUUUGCACGCGCAGCAGUUACUCGGUUUUAAACUUCAAAAGUAUGACAGCCUAAGUUUACCGUCGUCGAUUGUUCUACUCCUCAGCUUUGGAGAGCAAUUGAUCACGCCUUUGCUUAUCGUAGAGGACGAAUGCGUAAUUCCGGGCUUUCAGGUGUGGCAGGUUGUGGAAGGUCUUAUACUUGAAGUGCUCUUAGUACUGACGCUUCGAUGAUUAAUUGGAAGAGGGACUCUUCGGUCAACAUCAUCCCGCUCUGGGCAUGUAGAUUUGCUAUGGUUAAAAAGAAGGAUAUCCCCGUCUCUCCAGGCUUUUAACGGGUAGUUAUGAAAUGAUUAACCUGAUCUGGCACAGAGUCCUUCCCGGAAAGGCGCCCCAGCUGUGGCUAUCGCAUUUCAAGCCAUUGCUGGGAUUGAAUUCCUUGGUCGGUUUAUCAUAACCCGUUCUAGAGGUCUCUCUCAGCUAGGUGGAACCAGUGGGCGGCUGCCCCAGUUAAAUUUCUUCCAAGUGUGUAUACCUUUAACAUCAUCGGUUUAAUUGGCGACAUGUGGUUCAUACUCUUUGAUAAACUUGGCCGAGUGGGUUUCGGGUGUUCCAUAGAAUGGAUGUCUCUUUGCUGGAGGACCGAAUGCAUCAUUAAGCCAAACGCAUUUGAUCCUAUGUCCAAAGAACUGGAUGCCGCGAUUAUGACAUCUCGUCAUCGGAGGUUGUUAGUUCUUAUACUUGCGUCAUUCCCCUUCACCUCAUCGUCAGUUUCGUUCACUACUGCGCCGUACGACAUUUUCGUUAACUUUGGUCCCUUGUUGAAAGUCUGUCUUAAGUGUAAGAGAAUCCUUUCAACGAAAGUCAUCGAACGAAGUAUUUAUAUGUGUUUAAAUAGGCUAAUAACUGCAUGGUUUAGAACUCUAACAAAGCAAGGAUACAUAUUAUUACCUUGUUGAUUCAAAACAACUUACUCUCUCUUACUUGCUCACUGAAACUGAGUGAGUUCAAGGUUUCAGGCUCGGUGUCUUAGUUGAAUCUAUGAAACUAAUCAGCAUUUCAUAGCUCGUCGCACGUUUUUUCAUCACCGUUUAUUACUGUGUAUAUCAAUUUCCAACAUUCUUCUCAGGAAGAUAUCUAAAUUAACUAUAAAUCUGUACAUGCCUACUCAACGUAAUUUCGAUGUUAAAUGUUGUAUCCCCUCUUUUUAAUAUUGUCGACAUGUAUUAUUCAAACAAGCUUAAUUAUACCGUCACGUGUUCCCUCGUCAACGUCCCGCACCCCCAUGUUGACAAUAUUUUACUCAAUUGAAGUACUAAUAUGGGAUUCUCCAGACCAUGCUAGGAUGGUUUUCAGUGGAAAACAAGAGAGGAAGAUAUUUUGCGAGACUUCUCCGCAGAAGCACUCUGGGAUCCUCGUUUACUGGGCGCAUCACCUUCUCUGUUGAUUGACACGCCGCCAUUGGUACUUGUUUUGCUUUCUCAAACAUUGCAGGUUUCAUGAUCUCAUCCAAUUUUUGUGACACCCUACUUCUUAUGAAUGCAGUACUCGUCAUGUGAAUUGCUGAAUUUCCAGUUUUUGAAUGGUGACGCAGUGUUUGUGGUUGGUGAUCAAUAUUGUCGAUCACGACACUCGCCCCGCAGAAUAUUUGCUCUGACACUUUGAAGUCUGAUCAGCAUAAUCUAAAACAACAAUGUUUGCCCGCUGGCUGAUGUGGGUGUUUCCGUCUCUAAAUCUAGCUUUUCUUUGUUCGUUGUUUGGGAGUGCGUAGGGGCUGCAUCUCUUAAUUUCCUAGUUUCCAUUUUUGUCCUCCACCUUGUCAGGGCAAAGUAAUAAAUCCUUUGUUACCUACCGACAUGUAACUGCAUACAUGAAACAAUGGUAUGAUAAAGAUGAAUAAUAAAGUGAAAAAUGACUCAACAAGAUAAAAUUCUCUAUUUUACAUGGUCUAAGUAUGGAAAAUAGAAGCCGAUUUGUAAUUCUCGAGUACAAAAUAAAUAUGUCGGUAAAUAUAUAUUUUCCUAUAAAUAUCUUAAUUAAAUUAAGUUAAUUUUCAUAAUAUUCCUAUUAGAACAACAUUGAUAAUUAGGAUAUUAAUUUAUCUUAGCUUGUACUAAUUUAAAAUAUAAUAUUUUUUGUUCAAUAUUUACUGAUUAACUUAAAUGCCCUAACGAAUAUCAAUUUAUAUAUACGUACGUCAUCCUCCUUUCCAGCUAAAAUAUUUUCGUAACGAUAAAUAUAGAUGAAAAUUUGUUAAAUUAAAUUAAAUAAACUUCAUAAAUAUAAACAUGUACAUUUGUG
Long non-coding RNA from Folsomia candida, 9264 nucleotides. RefSeq lists it as uncharacterized. Lineage: Eukaryota; Metazoa; Arthropoda; Collembola; Entomobryomorpha; Isotomidae. The record is from RefSeq and is a predicted model, not a curated record. The transcript is spliced from 4 exons.